RNAcentral lists this ribosomal RNA (509 nucleotides) under uncultured bacterium. RNAcentral describes it as "partial 16S ribosomal RNA". It matches the Rfam family "Bacterial small subunit ribosomal RNA", at positions 28 to 523 of the family's 1533-position model. The record is from RNAcentral.
GACGAACGCUGGCGGCGUGCUUAACACAUGCAAGUCGAACGAGAAAGCCCUUCGGGGUAAGUACAGUGGCGAACGGGUGAGUAACACGUGGGCAACCUGCCCCGGAGAGCGGGACAACCCGAGGAAACUCGGGCUAAUACCGCAUGAUGCGUCUCCACUUAAGUGGAGCCGCCCAAUGGUAGCUUCGGCCUCCGCCCUGGGAUGGGCCCGCGCCGGAUUAGCUAGUUGGUUGGGGUAAUGGCCCACCAAGGCGACGAUCCGUAGCUGGUCUGAGAGGAUGAACGGCCACACUGGGACUGAGACACGGCCCAGACUCCUACGGGAGGCAGCAGUGGGGAAUCUUCCGCAAUGGACGAAAGUCUGACGGAGCAACGCCGCGUGAGUGAAGAAGGCCUUCGGGUCGUAAAGCUCUGUCGUUUGGGACGAACGUGCUUUGUGUGAAUAAUGCAAAGUAAUGACGGUACCAAAGGAGGAAGCCACGGCUAACUACGUGCCAGCCGCCGCCGUAA